Molecule: long non-coding RNA, 1210 nt
Organism: Bos taurus (domestic cattle)
Lineage: Eukaryota; Metazoa; Chordata; Mammalia; Artiodactyla; Bovidae
Source: Ensembl
UCGUCUUACUUUUCACAGAGAGUGUACUUGGGCUUUGGCCUUUAAGCAGCCGGCCUUCAAUUGGUUCUCAUUAGCUGUGGAAUGAGAAGAGAAAGCCAGAUAAUUGCACCGUAUCUUCCUUGCAUUUGUGCGUGUACUCGGUGGCUGCUACCGUUAACGAUGCCUGCCAAGAAAGCCUGAUUUACUGGGUGAGGGGGGCUCCUGGCAAAGGCGAAACCCUCCCAACAGUAGCACAAGGUGCCAGAGGUUAGAACUUUCACAUGUGCACAGAGUGAAUAUGCUGUGUCUGUAUUUCUUUCCUCCUGGGGCCUUAGGAACACUUUCAAUCUAGCGGCGAGGUGGCGCGCAUGCGCGCGCCGGGUGGGGGACACCCCGGUCCCACGGCUCCGUGGGCCUCGUCGUCUAUCUCCGGUGGGGGGAUGGGGCGAGCGCCGCGGGAGCGGGGCCGGACGAGGUGGUAGCGAGUGCGCCCUCCUGGGCUCGCCGCCAGUGGCACCGGCUCUAGCACCGGACGCCGCCCGCCCGCGUCGGAGGUGCGCCUUUAAUUAAAAGACUUCGGCUCGCGGGAAAGAGGGGAAAAUGCCGACUGCGCUCGGCCCGUGGCACGAGGACGGGAGCGCGUGGUGUGAGCAGCUGGAGCACACUCUGGGCGCGCGGGCGGCUCCCGGACUUCAACAGGAGCGCUAGCAUACAAGAUCCUAGUUCUCUGGCCAAGGAUGGAAGCCACAGUCCCCUGCAUUAGAAGCAUGGAGUCUCAACCACCGGACCACCAAGGAAGUCUCAGACAGCUGGUUAUUUUAGAGGAAGGAUUAUCCAGACUUCAUGAUGGGGAAACCCUAAAUUGAAAGCGUCUAGAUUCAAUCCUAAAGUGUAAGUGCAUAUUAUUUUUGCUAAUUUCCGGAUGUCUUGGUUUGUCCACUGAAAUCCUGACUGUUGAACUAGAUAGGUAAAUACCUGCCAAAGCAGAUUGUGUGAUCUUAAGCAAUUUUCAGGAUGGAAAAUAUCAAUUGCUCAAGCUAGAAGGGAAAAGGAAUGAUCAUUCAUAGGGUGCUUACUAUGUGCUGGUUGUUUUAUACAUAUUAUCUCACUGGAUCAUCACAAGAAUCCUGGGAAGUAGGAGUUACACCCAUUGAGAUUCAGAGCAGUUACCUGUUGUAUUUUUUUAGCUUACUGUAAUUUUGGCCAAGGUCACAAAUCUAUUAAAAUAAUA